AUGCUACCACUACCCGUCCACCUGUCCUUCAUGCGCGGCCACUACUGGGCGGGCAUGAAGGCCAACUGGAUCGUCCUCAUCCACCAAUCCGCAGACGCAAAUGUGUUGGCCUUCAUGAUUCCAGGACCUGGAAUCAUACCAGCCGAUGGUGAGUACCAUAUAACUGGAAUUAACCCAUGCAAGUCGAAGAAGGAUUGGCCGGUGCUGCCGGCUGGCGUCAAGUUCGAUCCCACGGAUCAGGAGCUGAUCGAGCACCUUGAGGCCAAAGUGAGUGCUGACAGCGCGAGAUCUCACCCUCUCAUCGAUUUGUUCAUACCAACCAUCGACAACGAGCACGGCAUAUGCUACACCCAUCCUGAGAAACUUCCAGGUAUCACACUGAGUGGCCUAAGCAAGCAUUUUUUCCAGCGCAAUUCCAGGGCGUUCAAAAGGGGCACGUGGACGUGUUGCAAGAUACAGUCGAAGUACAGCAUGCACGCGAUGUGGCACAACAGCGGCAAUACCUUGCCGGUGAUGGUCAACGGCCGGCAGACGGGCAGCAAAAAGGUUCUGGUGCUGCACACCAACAAGAACUUCGACGAGCAGAGACCAACUGGGUGA
This 600-nucleotide ribosomal RNA is filed under the name Triticum aestivum (bread wheat). Its description in RNAcentral is "partial small subunit ribosomal RNA". Lineage: Eukaryota; Viridiplantae; Streptophyta; Magnoliopsida; Poales; Poaceae. The record is from RNAcentral.